UACGAAGGGGGCUAGCGUUGUUCGGAUUUACUGGGCGUAAAGCGCACGUAGGCGGAUCGUUAAGUCGGGGGUGAAAUCCUGGAGCUCAACUCCAGAACUGCCUUCGAUACUGGCGAUCUUGAGUCCGGAAGAGGUGAGUGGAACUCCUAGUGUAGAGGUGGAAUUCGUAGAUAUUAGGAAGAACACCAGUGGCGAAGGCGGCUCACUGGGGAUUUUCUGACGCUGAGGAACGAAAGCCAGGGGAGCGAACGGG
RNAcentral lists this ribosomal RNA (253 nucleotides) under uncultured bacterium. Its description in RNAcentral is "partial 16S ribosomal RNA". It matches the Rfam family "Bacterial small subunit ribosomal RNA", at positions 524 to 776 of the family's 1533-position model. The record is from RNAcentral.